AAUAACCAAAUAUAACACUAGGGCUAAGGGUCAAAUUGGUAAUUUUUCUUACAUCUCCUCCCCCAGGGGCCCAGGUAUCAUAUACACCGGCAAAAUAAAGAGCCUUGAGUACUAGAAGAGAAGCACCUAGGCCUAACAAAAUUAAGUGGGUACCCAAAAUUGUAGUCAUUUUAUUUCUAUCUUUCCA
Molecule: non-coding RNA, 187 nt
Organism: Triticum aestivum (bread wheat)
Lineage: Eukaryota; Viridiplantae; Streptophyta; Magnoliopsida; Poales; Poaceae
Source: Rfam